RNAcentral lists this ribosomal RNA (468 nucleotides) under uncultured bacterium. Its description in RNAcentral is "partial 16S ribosomal RNA". It matches the Rfam family "Bacterial small subunit ribosomal RNA", at positions 28 to 507 of the family's 1533-position model. The record is from RNAcentral.
GACGAACGCUGGCGGCGUGCUUAACACAUGCAAGUCGAACGGAAAGGCCCUGCUUUUGUGGGGUGCUCGAGUGGCGAACGGGUGAGUAACACGUGAGUAACCUGCCCUUGACUUUGGGAUAACUUCAGGAAACUGGGGCUAAUACCGGACAGGAUCUCCUGCUGCAUGGUGGGGGGUGGAAAGUUUCGGCGGUUGUGGAUGGACUCGCGGCUUAUCAGCUUGUUGGUGGGGUAGUGGCUUACCAAGGCUUUGACGGGUAGCCGGCCUGAGAGGGUGACCGGCCACAUUGGGACUGAGAUACGGCCCAGACUCCUACGGGAGGCAGCAGUGGGGAAUAUUGCACAAUGGGCGGAGGCCUGAUGCAGCAACGCCGCGUGCGGGAUGACGGCCUUCGGGUGGUAAACCGUUUUCGCCUGUGACGAAGCGUGAGUGACGGUAAUGGGUAAAGAAGCACCGGCUAACUACGUG